GCCGCAAGGUUAAAACUCAAAGGAAUUGACGGGGGCUCACACAAGCGGUGGAGCAUGUUGCUUAAUUCGAGGCAACGCGAAGAACCUUAUCCUAGGCUUGACAUGUGUGGAUUAGCCGUUGGAAACAUCGGUGACGCCUUCGGGUGGAACAUACACAGGUGCUGCAUGGCUGUCGUCAGCUCGUGCCGUGAGGUGUUGGGUUAAGUCCCGCAACGA
This 216-nucleotide ribosomal RNA is filed under the name uncultured Pelagophyceae. RNAcentral describes it as "partial Bacterial small subunit ribosomal RNA". It matches the Rfam family "Bacterial small subunit ribosomal RNA", at positions 885 to 1095 of the family's 1533-position model. The record is from RNAcentral. Lineage: Eukaryota; Pelagophyceae.